This 341-nucleotide ribosomal RNA is filed under the name uncultured eukaryote. RNAcentral's name for it is "partial 18S ribosomal RNA". It matches the Rfam family "Eukaryotic small subunit ribosomal RNA", at positions 1470 to 1796 of the family's 1831-position model. The record is from RNAcentral.
CCCUUAGAUGUUCUGGGCCGCACGCGCGCUACACUGAUGAAUUCAACGAGCUUUACCAAUUUUGGUAUUUCCUUUUCUGAAAAGAAUGGGUAAUCUUUUAAAUGUUCAUCGUGAUGGGGCUAGAUUUUUGCAAUUAUUAAUCUCCAACGAGGAAUUCCUAGUAAACGCAAGUCAUCAGCUUGCAUUGAUUACAGUCCCUGCCCUUUGUACACACCGCCCGUCGCACCUACCGAUUGAAUAGUCCGGUGAAAUUUUCGGACUCUGUGAUUUUUCAUUUAUUUGAAAGUUUACGGGGGAAGUUAAGUUAACCUUGCUAUUUAGAGGAAGGUGAAGUCGUAACA